This 68-nucleotide transfer RNA is filed under the name Marmota monax (woodchuck). RNAcentral's name for it is "tRNA.Val". Lineage: Eukaryota; Metazoa; Chordata; Mammalia; Rodentia; Sciuridae. The record is from RNAcentral.
GUUGUGGCUCAGUGGUAGAUCACUCACCUCACAUGUGCGAGGCCCUAGGUUCGAUCCUCAGCAUCACA